Dama dama (fallow deer) is the source of this 6307-nucleotide RNA transcript. It is a transcript of the gene named insulin like growth factor 2 mRNA binding protein 2, with no coding region annotated. NCBI's taxonomy places the organism in Eukaryota, Metazoa, Chordata, Mammalia, Artiodactyla, Cervidae. The transcript has 15 exons. The record is from RefSeq and is a predicted model, not a curated record.
GGGCGGGGAGGGGGGGCGGAGGAGGAGCAGGGGAGACGAGGGCAGCGGAGGAGGCGAGGAGCGCCGGGUACCGGGCCGGGGGAGCCGCGGGCUCUCGGGGAAGAGACGGAUGAUGAACAAGCUUUACAUCGGGAACCUGAGCCCCGCCGUCACCGCCGACGACCUCCGGCAGCUCUUCGGGGACAGGAAGCUGCCCCUGGCGGGACAGGUCCUGCUCAAGUCCGGCUACGCCUUCGUGGACUACCCCGACCAGAACUGGGCCAUCCGCGCCAUCGAGACCCUUUCGGGUAAAGUGGAAUUGCAUGGGAAAAUCAUGGAAGUUGAUUAUUCAGUCUCCAAAAAGCUCAGGAGCAGGAAAAUUCAGAUUCGAAACAUCCCUCCUCACCUGCAGUGGGAGGUGUUGGAUGGACUUUUGGCUCAGUGUGGGACAGUGGAGAACGUGGAGCAAGUCAACACAGACACAGAAACUGCCGUUGUCAACGUCACAUAUGCAACAAGAGAAGAAGCUAAAACAGCCAUCGAGAAGCUAAGCGGGCAUCAGUUUGAGAACUACUCCUUCAAGAUUUCCUACAUCCCGGAUGAAGAGGUGAGCUCCCCUUCGCCCCCUCAGCGAGCCCAGCGUGGGGACCACUCUUCCCGGGAGCAAGGCCAUGCCCCUGGGGGCUCUUCUCAGGCCAGACAGAUUGAUUUCCCGCUGCGGAUCCUGGUCCCCACCCAGUUUGUUGGUGCCAUCAUCGGAAAGGAGGGCUUGACCAUAAAGAACAUCACUAAGCAGACCCAGUCCCGGGUAGACAUCCAUAGAAAGGAGAACUCUGGGGCCGCAGAGAAGCCCGUCACCAUCCAUGCCACCCCAGAGGGAACCUCUGAAGCAUGCCGCAUGAUUCUUGAAAUCAUGCAGAAAGAGGCUGAUGAGACCAAACUAGCUGAAGAGAUUCCUCUGAAGAUCUUGGCCCACAAUGGCUUGGUUGGAAGACUGAUUGGAAAAGAAGGCAGAAAUUUGAAGAAAAUUGAACAUGAGACAGGGACCAAGAUAACAAUCUCAUCCUUGCAGGAUUUGAGCAUAUACAACCCUGAAAGAACCAUCACUGUGAAGGGCACAGUUGAGGCCUGUGCCAGUGCCGAAAUAGAGAUUAUGAAGAAGCUGCGUGAGGCCUUUGAAAAUGAUAUGCUGGCUGUUAAUCAACAAGCCAGUCUGAUCCCGGGGUUGAACCUCAGCGCACUUGGCAUCUUUUCAACAGGAUUUUCCGUGCUGCCUCCACCAGCAGGGCCCCGAGGAGCUCCCCCCGCUCCCCCCUACCACCCUUUCGCUACCCACUCCGGAUAUUUCUCCAGCUUGUACCCCCCUCACCAGUUUGGCCCGUUCCCGCAUCAUCACUCCUAUCCAGAGCAGGAGAUCGUGAAUCUCUUCAUCCCGACCCAGGCCGUGGGGGCCAUCAUCGGGAAGAAAGGGGCGCACAUUAAACAGCUGGCCAGAUUCGCCGGAGCCUCCAUUAAGAUCGCCCCAGCAGAAGGCCCAGACGUCAGUGAAAGGAUGGUCAUCAUCACCGGCCCACCUGAAGCUCAGUUCAAGGCUGUGCCCUCUACACGGAGCCCUGCUUACCUUCUCUCCUGUGAAAAGUGGACUGUCAGUGCCCAGUUCAGAUGGCAUCCCCUUGGGAACAUCUCUGAUCCCUUGGCCAUGGUUUUGAAGAUGGAGCAUAAACACAGGGUGUGAAGAGAAAUAGCAGUUUGUUGGAAGGGUUUGGAGGGAUGCAUUCCUUUACUUUAUAUUGGAGUACAGUUUUUUUUCAAUGCUAUGUUAGUUUCAGGUAUUUAGUUAUACACACAUCCAUUCUUUUUCAGGUUGUUUUCCCAUGUAGCUUAUUACAUAAUGUUGAGUAGAGUCCCCUGUACUAUAUAGUAAGUCUUUGUUGACAUAUGAUAAUCCCAAACUCCUAAUUUAUCCCCCCACCCCUAAUUUCCCCCUUGGUAACCACGUUUGUUUUUUGUCUGUGAACCUGUUUCCUUGUUUGGUAAAUAAGUUUACUUGUAUCACUUUUUUAGAUUCCACAUAUAAGUGAUAUCAUAUAUUUGUCUCUGAUUUACUUAAUAUGAUAAUCUCUAGGUCCAUCCAUGUUACUACAAAUGGUAUUUAUUCUUUUUUAAAUAUUUUUUUAAAUGGGCUGAGUAACAUCCCACUCUGUGUGUGUGUGUGUGUGUGUAUCACUUUUGGUUGGAGCAUUUAAUCUGUUUACAUUUAAGGUAAUUAUCAAUAUGUAUGUUCUUAUUGCCAUUUUGUUAAUUGUUUCAGGUUUGAUUCUGUAAGUCUUUUUUCUUCCCUUCCGCUUUUGUUCUCUCACAAUUUGAUGACUACCUUUAGUGUUGCAUUUGGACUGUUUUUUGUGUAUCUAUUAUAGAUUUUUUGGUUUGCAGUUACCAGGAGGUUUUGACAUAGCCGUCUUGUUAAUAUAUACAACAUUGUUUAAUAAAGUUGCUGGUCUAAUUUCAAAUGCCUUUCCAAUAUCCUGCAUUUGUACUCUCCUCAUGAUUACUGGUUUUGACGUCAUAUUUAUGUAUGAAUGAUUUCCCACCUUUACUGUAUUUUUGUCUUUACUGGUGAACUUGCCCAUUCAUAAUUUUCUUGUUUCUAGUUGUGGGCUUUUCCACCUAGAAAAGUUCCUUUAGCAUUUGUUAUAAAGUAGUGAAUUCUCUUAGCUUUUGCUUAUCUGUAAAGCUUUUGACUUAUUCAUUGAUUCUGAAUGAGAGUCUUGCUGGCUAUCCUUUGUUGUAGGUUUUUCCCUUUCAUCACUUUCUUUUCUCAGGCCAUUUCUCUCUCAUCUUCCUCUAGAACCUCUAUAAUGUGAAUGCUAGUGCACUUAAUGUUGCCCCAGAGGUCUCUUAGACUUGCUCAUUUCAUUCUUUAUUCUGUUCCACAGUGUGAUUUUCACCAAUCUGUCUCCCAACUCACUUAUUCAUUCUUCUGCCUCCUUUAUUCUGUUAUUGAUUCCUUCUAGUAUAUUUUUCAUUUCAGUUAUUGUAUUGUUCAUCUCUGUGCUAUUGUUCAUCUUCUAGCUCUUUGUUAAACAAACACUUCCAAAAUCUUAGGUCAUUCUUUACUAUCAUUAUUUUGAAUUCUUUUUCAGGUAGAUUCAGUUCAGUCGCUCAGUCGUGUCUGACUCUUUGUGACCCCAUGGACUACAGUACACCAGACUUCCCUGUCGAUCACCAACUCCUGGAGCUUACUCAAACUCUUGUCCAUUGAGUCGGUGAUGCCAUCUAACCAUCUCAUCCUUUAUCGUCCCCUUCUCCUCCCACCUUCAAUCAUUCCCAGCAUCAGGGUCUUUUCAAAUGAGUCCGUUCUUUGCAUCAGGUGGCCAAAGUAUUGGAGUACUUAGAGCUUCAGCAUCAGUCCUUCCAGUGAAUAUUCAGGACUAAUUUCCUUUAGGAUGGACUGGUUUGAUCUCCUUGCAGUCCAAGGGACUCUCAAAGGUCUUCUCCAACACCACAGUUCAAAAGCAUCAAUUCUUCAGUGCUCAGCUUUUUUUUAUAGUCCAACUCUCACAUCCAUACAUGACUACUGGUUCAUCGCAGCAAUGUUUAUAAUAGCCAGGACAUACAUGACUACUGGAAAAACCAAAGCUUUGACUAGAUGGACCUUUGUUGGCAAAGUAAUGUGUCUGCUUUUUAAUAUGCGGUCUAGGUUAGUCAUAACUUUUCUUCCAAGGAGCAAGUGUCUUAAUUUCAUGGCUGCAGUCACCAUCUGCAGUGAUUUUGGAGCCCCCCCCAAAAUAAAGUCUGCCACUGUUUCCAUUGUUUCCCCAUCUAUUUGCCAUGAAGUGAUGGGACCAGAUGCCAUGAUCUUAGUUUACUGAAUGUUGAGUUUUAAGCCAACCUUUUCACUGUCCUCUUUCACUUUCAUCAAGAAGCUCUUUAGUAGUUCUUCACUUUCUGCCAUAAGGGUGGUGUCAUCUGCAUAUCUGAGGUUAUUGAUAUUCCUCCCAGCAAUCUUGAUUCCAGCUUGUGCUUCCUCCAACCCAGCGUGUCUCAUGAUGUACUCUGCAUAGAAGUUAAAUAAGGAGAGUGACAAUAUACAGCCUUGACGUACUCCUUUUCCUAUUUGGAACCAGUCUGUUGUUCCAUGUCCAGUUCUAACUGUUGCUUCCUGACCUGCAUACAGGUUUCUCAAGAGGCAGGUCAGGUGGUCUGGUAUUCCCAUCCCUUUCAGAAUUUUCCACAGUUUGUUGUGAUCAAUACAGUCAAAGGCUUUGGCACAGUCAAGAAAGCAGAAAUAGAUGUCUUUCUGGAACUCUCUUGCUUUUUUAAAUGAUCCAAAUUUGCUGGCAUAUGGAGUGCAGCACUUUCACAGCAUCAUCUUUUAGGGUUUGAAAUAGCUCAUUUGGAAUUCCAUCACCUCCACUAACUUUGUUCAUAGUGAUGCUUCCUAAGGCCCACGUGACUUCACAUUCCAGGAUGUCUGGCUCUAGGUGAGUGAUCACACCAUCGUGAUUAUCUGGGUCAUGAAGAUCUUUUUUGUACAGUUCUUCUGUGUAUUCCUGCCACCUCUUCUUAAUAUCUUCUGCUUCUCUUAGGUCCAUACCAUUUCUGUCCUUUAUUGAGCCCAUCUUUACAUGAAAUGUUCCCUUGGUAUCUCUAAUUUUCUUGAAGAGAUCUCUAGUCUUUCCCAUUCUAUUGUUUUCCUCUAUUUUUUUGCAUUGAUCGCUGAGGAAGGCUUUCUAUCUCUCCUUGCUAUUCUUUGGAACUCUGCAUUCAAAUGGGUGUAUCUUUCCUUUUCUCUCUUGCCUUUCACUUCUCUUCUUUUCACAGCUAUUUGUAAGUCCUCCUUAGACAACCAUUUUGCCUUUUUGCACUUCUUUUUCUUGGGGAUGAUCUUGAUCCCUGCCUCCUGUACAAUGUUACGAACCUCCAUCCAUAAUUAUUCAGGCACUCUAGCAGAUCUAAUCCCUUGAAUCUAUUUGUCACUUACACUGUAUAAUCUUAAGGGAUUUGAUUUAGGUCAUACCUGAAUGGUCUAGUGGUUUUCCCUGCUUUCUUCAAUUUCAGUCUGAAUUUGGCAAUCAGGAGUUCAUGGUCUGAGCCACAGUCAGUUUGUUUUUGCUGACUGUAUAGAGCUUCUCCAUCUUUGCCUGCAAAGAAUAUAAUCAAUCUGAUUUCGGUAUUGAUCAACUGGUGAUGUCCAUGUGUAGUCUCUUCUCUACCUUCAGGUAGAUUGCCUAUCUCGAUAUCAUUUAGUUGUUCUUUUGGGGUUUUAUCUUGUUCCUUCAUCUGGAACAUACUUCUCUGCUGUCUCAUUUUGUGUUUGUGGUCUCCCUUCUGUAGGCUCUGGAUUGUAGUUCUUGCUUCUCAUGUCUGCCCCUUGGUGGGUGAGGUUGGUUCAGGGGUUUGUACAGGCUUCCCGGUGGUAGUGACUGGUGCCUGCCAGCUGGUGGAUGGGGCUGGCUCUAGUCCCUCUUGUGGGCAGGGCCAUGUCAAAGGGCAUGUCUUGAGGUGCCUGUGGACUCAGGACAGCUUUACGCAUUGUGUUGGUUGAUUGCUGGGGCUGUGUUCCCACCCUGUUGGUUGGCCUGAAGCAUCCCCAGCACUGGAGCUUGCAGGCUGUUGGGUGGGGCCAGGCCUCAGUACCAAAUGGUGACCUCCAGGAGAGCUCACGUUGAGGAAUAUUCCCUGGGGCCUCCGCUGCCAGUGUCCUUGCCCCACAGUGGGCCACAGCCAAUCCCCGCCUCCCCAGGAGACUCUCCAAAACCUACAGGUAGGUCUGACUCGCUCCCGUGGAGUCACUGCUUUGCCUUGGGUCCCAGGGUACAUGAACCCUUGUGUGCACCCUCCAAGAGUGGAGUCUCUGCUUCCCUCAGUCCUGUGGAGCUCCUGCACUCAAGUGCCUCUGGCCCUUCAAACCAAAUGCUAUGAAGACUCCUCCUUGGGAUGCCAGACGCCCAGCCUGGGGAGCCUGGCAUGGGGCUCAGAACUCUCCUCUGGGAGAACCUCUGCAGUAUAAUUCGUUUCCAGUUUGUGGGUGGCCUGGUGGGUAUGGGAUAUUAUAUUGUGACAGCACCCUUCCUGCCAUCUUGUUGUGGCUUCUUUGUUUUCGGAUGCAGAUUAUCUUUUUGGAAAGCUUCCAGUCUUUUUGUUGAUGGUUGUUCAGCAGUUGGUUGUGAUUUUGGUGUUUUCGUGAGAGGAGGCCCAGGGGCGGAUCUUUGGGAAACUGAAAGAAGAAAACUUCUUUAACCCCAAAGAGGAGGUGAAGCUGGAAGCCCACAUCCGAGUGCCCUCCUCUACAGCCGGCCGUGUGAUCGGCAAGGGCGGCAAAACC